Non-coding RNA from Trichonephila inaurata madagascariensis, 73 nucleotides. The record is from the annotation of a GenBank genome assembly. NCBI's taxonomy places the organism in Eukaryota, Metazoa, Arthropoda, Arachnida, Araneae, Nephilidae.
GUCCCUGUAAUGUUAUGGAUAACGCGUUGGACUUUUAAUCCAAAAGUCAUGGGUGCGAAUCCCAUCUGGGAUG